This 1287-nucleotide ribosomal RNA is filed under the name Triticum aestivum (bread wheat). RNAcentral describes it as "partial small subunit ribosomal RNA". The record is from RNAcentral. Lineage: Eukaryota; Viridiplantae; Streptophyta; Magnoliopsida; Poales; Poaceae.
AUGCAAUCAAAAGAUCCUGACUUUUUCCAUCUUAUGGAUGUGGAUAAGGAUGGAAGACUGAGAAAUGUCUUUUGGGCAGAUGCAAGAAGUAGGGCAGCAUAUGAAUCUUAUUGUGAUGUCAUCACAUUUGACACUACAUACUUAACAAACAAGUAUAGCAUGCCAUUUGCUCCCUUUGUUGGCGUAAAUCAUCAUGGAGAAUCAGUUCUGUUAGGUUGUGGCCUUCUAUCCAACGAAGACACCGACACUUUUGCGUGGUUAUUUAAAUCUUGGCUAUGUUGUAUGUCGAACAAACCACCAAAUGCUAUAAUCACUGACCAGUGCAAAGCAAUGCAGAAUGCUAUUGAAGAAGUUUUUCCUCAAGCUCGUCACAGAUGGUGGGUACCAGCAUAUGUAAAAGAUACUUUUUGGGCAGGGAUGUCUUCAACACAAAGGAGUGAGAGUGUGAAUGCUUUCUUUGAUGGGUAUGUUCACGCUAGAACAACUCUAAAGCAAUUUGUGGAGCAGUAUGAAAAUGCAUUAAGAGACAAGGUAGAGAAAGAAACCAAGGCUGAUUCUAAGUCGUUCCAAGAGGAAAUUCCAUGCAUUACUCAUUUUGACUUCGAAAAGCAAUUUCAAGCAGCAUAUACCAAUGCAAAGUUUCAAGAGUUUCAAGAGCAAUUAAGAGGGAAAAUCUAUUGCUAUCCAUCUCUGCAAAACAAUGAAGGGCCACUUCUUACAUUUAGAGUUAGAGAGGACCGCAAGAUUUUUUUUGAAGGAGAGGAUGGCAGCAUUAAAGAGAAAUGGAUUAUUUCAGAUUUCACUGUCUUGUUCAAGCAAGAGGAAUGUGAUGUGCGGUGUAUUUGUAGGCUUUUUGAAUUUCGAGGCAUCUUGUGUAGCCACAUCAUUACCGUGCUUGCUCUCAUGGGGAUCAAAGAUGUACCUUCUAGGUAUAUAUUGCAGCGAUGGAGAAAUGAUUUUAAGCGCAAACACGUAUUUAUUAAAUGCUCCUACGAUGAUAUGUUGAAUACACCAGUUGUGCAGCGUUAUGAUGAAUUAUGCAAGCGUUCUCAUGAAGUGGCAGAGAAAGGUGCAGAGCCCGAUGAAUUGCGCGACUUGGUGAUGGAUGGGCUUGAUCAGUUAGAAAGAAAGGUUGAUGCAUACCGUGCUAGCCAUGCUGUUCAAGUACAGGCAGAAAAUCCAACAUCAAAGCAUGAAGAUACAAUGUUAAACAAAGAAAAACUUGGUACUCAGUCCAAUCCCUGUUCGCAGUGCAGGCCGUCCUCGUUCAAAGAGAAAGAUAUCUAA